Molecule: ribosomal RNA, 119 nt
Filed under: Cervus hanglu yarkandensis (Yarkand deer)
Lineage: Eukaryota; Metazoa; Chordata; Mammalia; Artiodactyla; Cervidae
Source: RNAcentral
GUCUACAGGCAUAUCACUCUGAAUGUACCUGAUCUUGUCUGAUCCUGGAAACUAAGCAGGGUUGGGCCUGGUUAACACUUGGAUGGGAGGCCACUUGGGAAUAUCGGGUGCUGUAGGCU